GAUUUUUCUUUUAAGCAUAUGCUUUAUUUUGAGGGAAGAUGCUGGGAGAGAAAUUUCUGUGUGGUUUCUACAGAAUUAAGAAGACAAAAGUGGUAAUUGAUAAAACACCAAAUCUUGGGCAUUUAUGUAAUUGUUGAUUAAAUAAUAAAAGUUCAACUGAAUAAUUAAUGCAUAACUCUUUGAAUGGGUGAAGAUGUACAAAAACUCAGCUCAUCUGAGGUCAGCAUCUCUUCUAGGGAUUCCUGAAGAAUAUAGGCAAGGUGAUGAAGCCGUAUGUUGCUGUUUCCCUGCAGAUGCUGGAAAUAUGGGCCCCACCCCACUUCAGCCCCUCACUUCUCUAAUUUUUCUCUAGGAAUAUUAUUAUUGGCCCAGGGAAGGUUCAUUUCAGCAGAAAUUCUGCCGUUAUGAAGCAAUUAGAGCAAUUUGUUAGCAAAAGUAAGUGAUUUAUUUUUCCCAAUCACCAUUCAUAAGACGGUCAUUACAAACAAGUUUGCUGAUAAAUCCGUGGCCACGAGAGACGAAUUUAAUUGUGUCAAGGAAAGUUUCUUGGUGCUUAAUGGAGAGAGACUUUUCUGCCCCUUCAUGGUGAGAGAUAGGCCCUAUGGGUAUUUAUUGACUUGAACUGGGGUCUUCUUAAUAAAGAGAGAUAUGUUUUAGAAAUGAAACUCCUCGGGGUCUUGUUUGGGGUAAGUAAUUAGUGAAGAACCAAGUUAAUGUUGUUGGUUUUUUUUUUUUUUCUCAAACAUCUUGAUCUUUGAGCAAGUUUUUGAUCUUUUUUUUUAACUGACAAGUUACUUCUCUUUCAGGCCCCGAGCUUGAUGUAGAAGACUAUCAUAUGAACCAGAGAGGGUAACUGAACCCAAAGAAAUGACUCCAACAUCAAGCUAAAGACACGCCUUACAGGAUGAGGAGGAGCAGAAAUCCCACCAGCAAGGCAAGAAAGAAGCUGCACAUGAACAGCCUCUGCUUUAGGCCCAGAAGGAAAAGAAGUUACAGGAGCCGAUCGCCGAUCAGUCUUACACUCUUCCAUGAUCAUAAUCAAGAGGUCCCUGGAUCUAGAGAAAUGAAAGAGAGCACUAGAGCAAAAUGAAUCCUGGAACUGGAAUGGAAUGCCUGGAUUUGGAAGACCCAGUGUAAGGAAGCGUCACAGUUGGGAAGCAUCCUGGCCAUGCCAUGGUAAAGGUAUGCCUCAUGGCAAGUUAUUUAGCUUUUCUGAGAUUUCAUGAAGUGAGAAUGGUAUUAAAUUUGUCACAGGAUUAAGUAACUUAAACAUAUUUAAUUCCUAGCCUGAAACCUGGAGCAACUAACUUGAUAAAUGUUAGUCCUCUUUUUGCCUUUUCUGACUUUUUGUUUUAUUAUUGUUUGCUUGCUUGUAGAUGUAUUUUUUAAUGCUAUAGAACAAAGAAUGAGUUUUUAGAAAGCAAGACGACAUUUAUACAAAAGUCCUUAAGCUGCAUUUUUUACCUAAUAAUUUCCUUUAUGUAAAUGUGUGCUAAAAUGAUGGUUGAAACUAAAAAACACAGAGCUAUAGACAUGGCAAUCCAUCAUUGCUUCAAAUAUGUCCUUCCUGGACAUUUUGCCGUUUGCCUUAUUUUAAAAAGCACAUACUUUCUUCAUCCUUAUUUUUAAAAAUCAUUUAUUUGUGUUAUUUGCGUCUUAUUUUCCUAUUAAUGUUUUGAUACAGUCAGAUUAUUUCCUUCUUCAAAUCAUUAAAAAAAAUAGACCAGUUAAGCCCCCUGGGCCUAACAUGAAUCACUGCCUUCUAAAAAAAAAAAAAAAAUGUCAAACAGUCUUAUUUCUUUAAUCUAUGCAGACAUUUUUUCCAG
Molecule: long non-coding RNA, 1826 nt
Organism: Aotus nancymaae (Ma's night monkey)
Lineage: Eukaryota; Metazoa; Chordata; Mammalia; Primates; Aotidae
Source: Ensembl